This 494-nucleotide ribosomal RNA is filed under the name uncultured bacterium. RNAcentral's name for it is "partial 16S ribosomal RNA". It matches the Rfam family "Bacterial small subunit ribosomal RNA", at positions 28 to 507 of the family's 1533-position model. The record is from RNAcentral.
GACGAACGCUGGCGGCGUGCUUAACACAUGCAAGUCGAACGGUGAAGCGCCUUCCUUUUUGGUGGGUGUGGAUGAGUGGCGAACGGGUGAGUAACACGUGAGUAACCUGCCCCCUUCUUCUGGAUAACCGCAUGAAAGUGUGGCUAAUACGGGAUAUUCUGGGUCUGUCGCAUGAUGGGUCUGGGAAAGAUAUUGUUUCGGUGGGGGAUGGGCUCGCGGCCUAUCAGCUUGUUGGUGGGGUGAUGGCCUACCAAGGCGGUGACGGGUAGCCGGCCUGAGAGGGUGGGCGGCCACAGUGGGACUGAGACACCGCCCAGCCUCCUACGGGAGGCAGCAGGGGGGAAUAUGGCACAAUGGGCGCAAGGCUGAUGCAGCGACGCCGCGGGAGGGAUGGAGGCCUGCGGGUUGUGAACCGCUUUCGCCAGUGAAGCAGGCCUGCCUCGUUUGUGGGUGGGUUGACAGUAGCUGGAUAAGAAGCGCCGGCUAACUACGUG